This is a long non-coding RNA of Passer domesticus (house sparrow), 4146 nucleotides long. RefSeq lists it as uncharacterized. Lineage: Eukaryota; Metazoa; Chordata; Aves; Passeriformes; Passeridae. The transcript has 2 exons. The record is from RefSeq and is a predicted model, not a curated record.
AUUUCAGGAGAACCUCAAGAGGAUGGAUCUGGCCUGUGGAGAAGUCUGGGGCAGUAGAUGAGCUGGCUGGACUUCGAAUUGCAUAGAGCCAGCACAGGUCUAAUCACCAGUAAAGGAACACUGAAAGGAAGAAGAAACAGCUUCCCUGCAGGGAUGUCUGUGAGCUGCCACUCCAGGACUUUUACUGUAGGUACUCACCGAACACAACAUGUUUCCCAUCCAACCAGUCACACUUGGAGCACGUAAUGAAGAACUGGCAGCCGUUGGUACUCGGACCACUGUUUGCCUAGGGUUUGAGAAUAGCAAAAUACAACAAGUAUACUAUUUCAGACUGAACAAAACUGAAGGCAGACACAUAAAGAAGAGGUGUUGUUCAAGUAUCUAUUAUUUUUAGCUUAUUGCUAGACAAACCAAAGGAAAGAAAAUACAUAUCUGCAGGAGAGCACACUGUGCUGGGAUGUAGUAUGUCACCACCUCUGGUCACACUAGAAUGUGCAAGAGCCAUGUCACCAAAUAUUUAUUAUACUUCUACAAAGGCGUGUUCAAUACAAGACUGAGCCGAAGUCCAGACUUUAGAGCACACUCCUGAAAAAAGGCUGAAUGUUUUGGUGAGAAGUAUUUAUUGGCUGCAGCAUUACCCCAAGGAAAACUGAACACCAGAAACCAGGGCAAGAAAAAAAUCCAGCUGAUUUCUGGUUUUUGGGAGGUUUCCUCAGAAUAAAAAUUUUAAAAAAAUUAAUUAUCAUGAUAAGAAAAGUAACAACUGUAUUGGCACAGGACUCACAGGAACAAUGGGAUGCAGAUGUGAAAUUUUAUUCACACCCAAGUACAAAACCCAGAGCAUUUGCACUGUGUUAAGAAAACAUCUCUGCAACACUGAAUGCCACUUGUGAUAUUGAUAACCAGGAGCUACUAAAGCAAGUUUCUGUCCUGAUGAGUGAACUGGUCAAGUUUUGCAGCUGCAGGACUGCAAAGGACAGGGUCAUUUUGGCUUUCUAGUUAAUGCCAGCCAGCUUCAAAAGGAUCCAGCUGGGAUCCAUGGUUCCUGGGAUCCAAGGUUUGACCCAGUAUAAUGACUUCAGAGCCAUGUCACUUGAACACAAAGCUGGCAGUACUGGAGUGAAUCCCUUCUCUCACACCACAGUACACUAGCUGCUUAGCUGUGCCAUGACACCUCUUUUUGGGCCAUGUUUUCAACAUGGACGAAUAACUAACCUAAAUUAUUAAAUGUCCUAAACAAGUGGUUUUAAGGGCAGAGCAGCUGAAAGAGCUGGGGAAGAAGUAGUUGUGGAUAGGAACACUGGCUCCAUUUGCUUUCUAUUCCAAAAGUCAGAGUAUUGGUCCUACCAGACAAUGUGCAAUGGUUGCAGUUUCUCCUACUAUGUUGAAUAGGAAGGUCUGUUUUAAAAGAUACCAUGGUAACAUUGCUGUGGCUUUGGAACUCACAAAUCUCUCAGUUUCAUCCUUGCCAAGGUCAGUGUUUGACAACAGUAUCAGGAAAGAAGAAAACACCACCAACUCACCACUGUAUGAAAACUCUUAAGAAUUAAGCUCUUCUGAAAGCAAGGAAGCUAAGGCUGCCCCAGCACUCCAACAGGCAGCAAAGAAAGGAUGCUGCAGAAUCAGGACUAUUGUGUUACUCAACAUAUUAACCCAAAAGUAGCUGCUUGACUAGUAGCUGCAAAGCAGACCUUGUACCCAAUGGCAGAGAUUCUGUUGCCAAGCAAAAUAAUUUUAAUAUACACUUAGGAAAAGGGCACAGAGAAAGUUCUAGAAGCUUUUUAGUCUGUAAUGUCAUUAUUUUAUACUCACCAUAGAAAGCAGCCCAGGAGCAGAGUGUUUCAGCUUGAAGUUUUCAUCUGCAAAAGGACCUCUAUAUAUACUGGCUACUCCAGUGCCAUCUCCCUGCAUGACAGAGGUACCCAGUCAGUGACAGCAUUUGUUCUGUAGCAACUGCUACAGAACAAUUCAAUUUAAAAAUUAAUUUAAAAUCUCCAAACAAGAUGAAAAGGCAAAAUGGAUUAUGUAUUGCCAUUUACAUACACCAGCAGGGAACACAUUCAGUGUUUAAUUUCCGAACAAGAACAGCAACCAGUUUCUAACCACACAGUUCACUGCUCACCAUUCAUAUGUUGGCAGAAGCCCGUGCAGAUGGUAAGUUUAAGUCCAAGCCUCCCAGAGUGAAGUGGAGGCAACUGAUUGCUUGGUACAGACCCAUCAGGACUUGGAAGGGAAAAGGGAAGAGACACAGAAGUAUGGGAUGGUGUGACAAAGAAAGCAGAAGUGGUUGCAUGGAAAAAAUUGGCUUACAGUGGUUUUAUGUAUUUCACCUUAUUUUCUGUGACUUUAUCGGAAAUAGGAAAGCAAUCUCUCUGUUCUACAAGGAUAGAUUCUAAAAUAAAGAUUUUCUGUUUAUGUUGUACUUUCUACUAAGCCAUUUUGCUCUACUUGCCCAGCCCUUAUUUGUUUCCCUCCUUCUCUCUGUAGUUUACUUAAACUUUUGGCUCUGAGAAAGAAACUUGCAACCCUGUCUCAGGGGUCAGUGUGACUGUGCUUGCUCUCCAGGUGGCUCUGUAAUAAAUAUAACAAAUAAAUUUCAAAUACUGGAGCAAUGUGUAAAGCUUGUUGAGAUGCAGUCGAAGUAAUACAUGCACUGGGACAUCUGAGCAGUGUCACAAUUAGCAACUACCACAGAGUCUGGUGUUGCUGGACUGCUUGCUGUGUGGUCAUUUCUCUCAGAGACUUUCAUACAACCAAGUUUUAUAUUAAAAAAAUCUUCAUUGCUUCCCUCAUAUUUUGAAACACUUCCAAAAGUAAAAUAAUUUUACUGAAUCCUAGAACAGCGAAGAGAUCCUGUGGCCCUUCAGCCUUACUCAUACAUUCUGCUUAUCCCCAUGUCAGAGCACGACCACCAUUGUGGGUGCAAAGACUUUUCUAUUUUGAGAAAAUUUAGUAACAAAAGGCUAGUUUUGAUUUAAAUGACGUCUUACAUUAUGCACUAGGUUCUGUACUUAGGGUCUAUCUACAAUCUGAAUUGAAAUUCACAGAGGUUUUUGCCUGGAGAAGGACAACAGAAGGGGGAAGGAAAACAGGGCAAACAAAAUUUUUCAAGUUUUGAAAGCUUCCAGGGUUUUGGCAGGCUACUGCAGAGAGAAAAUAUUUUGGGAAAAGUGCGUGUUCACCCAAGGCUCCAGAUUUGUUUUCAGGCGGUUUAAUGUCCGUUGCAGUAGGAUGGCAGCAAUGCUAUGAGGGUACCUCCAGUUACUACUGGAUACCUCAAAAAAGAAAGAGAGCCCAGUAGCAUGUUAUACCACAGAGGAAAAGGACAAAAAGAGUACAGGAGUACAUACAUUUACGAAGUCACCUCCUUGGAUCAUGAAAUCCUUUAUUACCCUAAAGAAGUAAAACAACACUUAAUUCUCAGUGGCCAAAAGCCUCAAGAAGCUCAGUGUAAGAUGAAAAGGGGUUCUGCCUUGCUGUGCAACAGAAGCUAAUAGUCUGUGAAUGCUGCAGCCUAAAAUCGACAACAAAUAUUAAUUAAUGGUUGAUAUGAAGUCAUUUAGGACUCAUUGCUUUUGAACAGGGAUACUCAUUACGUCAUAGAUGCAGUAUCUGACGUGGCACACCAGAAACAGGGGAUUCCUCCCAGUGGGGAGGACAGCAUCCCCAGGUCCCCCAAAGCCACAGAACUUCUUUACUAUGAUCUGCAAAUGUCUCCAACACCACUAACAGCUCAAGGUCACAGGUCACAAAACCCCACAUGGCUCAGGCUGCUAUUUAGUGUCAAAACAACAGUAGAUAAUUUACCUGUGGAAAGUGCUUCCUUUAUAACCUAUAGGGACACCAUCUUUCCUGUAGGGAAGUGAAAAGGAGAAUUAUUGCAACCUACUGGAUAUCCCAACACAAAAUCGUCCCAGCAAUUCAGAGUCCCAAAGGGUUGCCGUAUACAUUAGCAGCUGCCUUGAAAUACAACCAAAUGCCACAGCCUCUCAGCUGCUGCUGUUGGAGGCAAAAAAAAGCCUCAAGUGGGCUCUGCACAUGAAAUGACUCUGUUCUCUGCAACACCCCCACCAUCACCCACACAGGAUCCCACUGCAAUGUGCAGCAUGAGCAGGUGGGCUUUGCAGAUGGGGUUUUUUAGAGCCA